This 463-nucleotide ribosomal RNA is filed under the name uncultured bacterium. RNAcentral describes it as "partial 16S ribosomal RNA". It matches the Rfam family "Bacterial small subunit ribosomal RNA", at positions 28 to 507 of the family's 1533-position model. The record is from RNAcentral.
GACGAACGCUGGCGGCGUGCUUAACACAUGCAAGUCGAACGGUAAGGCCCUUCGCGGUACACGAGUGGCGAACGGGUGAGUAACGCGUGAGUAACCUGCCCUUCACUCUGGGAUAACAGUUGGAAACGGCGGCUAAUACCGUAUAUUCAGCUCCUGUCGCAUGGUGGGGGUUGGAAAGUUUUGGUGGUGGUGGAUGGGCUCGCGUCCUAUCAGCUUGUUGGUGGGGUGAUGGCCUACCAAGGCGUCGUCGGGUAGCCGGCCUGGGAGGGCGACCGGCCACAUUGGGACUGCGAUACGGACCAAACUCCUACGGGAGGCAGCAGUGGGGAAUAUUGCACAAUGGGCGGAAGCCUGAUGCAGCAACGCCGCGUGCGGGAUGACGGCCUUCGGGUUGUAAACCGCUUUCAGCAGGGACGAAGCGCAAGUGACGGUACCUGCAGAAGAAGCACCGGCUAACUACGUG